Hippocampus zosterae (dwarf seahorse) is the source of this 1582-nucleotide long non-coding RNA. RefSeq lists it as uncharacterized. The record is from RefSeq and is a predicted model, not a curated record. NCBI's taxonomy places the organism in Eukaryota, Metazoa, Chordata, Actinopteri, Syngnathiformes, Syngnathidae. The transcript is spliced from 2 exons.
ACGCAAGAGUGGAAAGAAAGACGUCAUCCUGCUGUGGUUAUGUCGUUAAGUCUGACAUUUAUAGUUCAAAGAAAAAUCAUUGACAUUUAACCCUUGCGCUCUAGUUUUUUUUUUUUUCCAGCUUGGUCAAAAUCAUUUUGGGCGAGGAACAAGUUGAGAUUUCAUUUUUUAUUUUGCCUAUUGACUGCAUAGUUUAACGAACAUCCAUCUUUGCCGUGAGCCUGAAAUAGUUAUUCAAUAUUGUAAUUCAUUUUUUAAGAAUUUCAUUCUAUACAAAAAAAACCCCAACUUUUUGGCCUCAUAGUUAAUGAGCUUUCAAAAAAUAUUCAUUGACCUUUCGCCAAAGGUGAAUAUAAGAAUUAAAAGGUGAGCCCCUUCUGGAAGAUGUAUUUGCAGCACACGUCGCACCAGGUGCCCUCCCCGCCGGCUCCGAAGCUGUGGCCCUCCCCGGACUCCUCCUUCACUCGGGGAUCCCUUUCCCCGGGGGUGAAGAUGGUCCUGACGUCGGGGGGUUUGAAUCCUUUCUUCCGGCUGCGGGGAGGCCGCCCGGCGUGACCUUCCUCCCGCUCGCCGCCCCUCAGCUCCGGGCUGCGCGGGACUCGGCCGCUCCAAGCCGCCUCCAGACUCUCCAGACGGGGAGUCUGAGGGGACAGGUGCCGCCGGACCACUUUGACCAUCGCGCCCUUGUUGGCCUUUGACAAGCGCAGCCUGGCGCCCGGUGGCGGCGGCGACGACGACGUUUCCUCCGGAGAGUCGCUCGGUGCCGGCGCCGUUCGGUGAGCGUCAAGUCCGGGCAGCCGAAGGAGGUCGGCCCCCGGGACGUUCUUGCGAGCCCCGUGGUGGAUCACCUUCAUGGUCGCGGGCGGACGCAGGAAUCGUGAAGCACGCGUCUGGGUUUCCUGGUCGGCGAGCAGGUUGAGGGAGUCGGCGCGGCUCAGAACGAGUUGGAUCUCAUUUCACAGGCGGCCGCAACACGGCGGGCGCUUGAAAAAAUGCUCACUUCAAGACAAUCCUUUCAAUUGAAGGCACGCGCCAACGUUUGGGAAUUGGAUGAAUAAAUAACUUCAUUGGUGGAACUUCAGUUUACAAUUCGGCAUCUUUCAUGCCCACUCUUAAGUGUCUCAUUUGGAGCAUUUAGGCAAAAAGUUGCCUGCUGCCGCACGAUGCUGCCGUAAUUCUUGUGACCACACGAGGGUGCUGUUUUGCAAGUCUUCAAAUGACACGCUGCAGCGUUCAUCCUGAAAUACAAAAUCACAUUGUCACUUUAAACACAAACAAAUCAGUCCGGACAGCUUCAUCGGUGUAUUUUUUAAUGAUGUUUUUCAUUGCUCAGUGUACAUUUGUCCUGACAAGUUAGUAAAUCAACAUGCGUACCUUUGAAAAUAGAUAAUUCCAUUUUAGGCAAAAGUCACCACACAGACUAAAUUGCGUUUCUCAUCAGAUCCCAAAACAUAGACCACACAUCAGAAAGCUUUUGUGCACUUCGGAUUUAUCCUGAAAUGUAAUCGCAAACUUCUCCCGAGUUGGGGCUGUGAGAUGCCACGUCAAGCCGUGCAAAGUUCCCAUCCAAAGAAGACAAGAA